Molecule: long non-coding RNA, 334 nt
Filed under: Macaca mulatta (Rhesus monkey)
Lineage: Eukaryota; Metazoa; Chordata; Mammalia; Primates; Cercopithecidae
Description: lncRNA (ENSMMUG00000059116.1)
Source: RNAcentral
AUGUCUCAUUUAUGCUGUUCUAUUUUUUUUUUGUACCCGUCAUUUGUUGAAGUUUGCGUGAAACACCCAGCAACUGUUGGUGUGAUUGUAUGGACCACAGAUGCUUGGUGUCUUCUGGGAUGGAGAUGUGUCCAGUCCUCGGAAACACCAUUCUGCUGUGGUUGGCUCACCAAGUGUGUUCAGCUCUUUCCAAGAGUGUUGAAAUCUGCCGAGAUUUAUUUUCAUGAAGGCCAGACUACAGCCCAGCAGCACGAAGAAUUCCGCCUCAAACAUCCACCUCACCUCACCUUUGAUCUCUGCAGUCAGGGUCUCAUCUUGUAAACAGACAUUACAG